This 76-nucleotide transfer RNA is filed under the name Pseudomonas aeruginosa. RNAcentral's name for it is "tRNA-Ala". It matches the Rfam family "tRNA". Rfam says of the family: Transfer RNA (tRNA) molecules are approximately 80 nucleotides in length. Their secondary structure includes four short double-helical elements and three loops (D, anti-codon, and T loops). The record is from RNAcentral. RNAcentral also lists the same sequence under 5 other names. Lineage: Bacteria; Pseudomonadati; Pseudomonadota; Gammaproteobacteria; Pseudomonadales; Pseudomonadaceae.
GGGGCUAUAGCUCAGAUGGGAGAGCGCUUGCAUGGCAUGCAAGAGGUCGACGGUUCGAUCCCGUCUAGCUCCACCA